Molecule: ribosomal RNA, 465 nt
Filed under: Vreelandella stevensii
Lineage: Bacteria; Pseudomonadati; Pseudomonadota; Gammaproteobacteria; Oceanospirillales; Halomonadaceae
Description: partial 16S ribosomal RNA
Rfam family: Bacterial small subunit ribosomal RNA
Source: RNAcentral
CCUACGGGCGGCUGCAGUGGGGAAUAUUGGACAAUGGGGGCAACCCUGAUCCAGCCAUGCCGCGUGUGUGAAGAAGGCCCUCGGGUUGUAAAGCACUUUCAGUGAGGAAGAACGCCUGGUGGUUAAUACCCAUCAGGAAAGACAUCACUCACAGAAGAAGCACCGGCUAACUCCGUGCCAGCAGCCGCGGUAAUACGGAGGGUGCGAGCGUUAAUCGGAAUUACUGGGCGUAAAGCGCGCGUAGGUGGCUUGAUAAGCCGGUUGUGAAAGCCCCGGGCUCAACCUGGGAACGGCAUCCGGAACUGUCAAGCUAGAGUGCAGGAGAGGAAGGUAGAAUUCCCGGUGUAGCGGUGAAAUGCGUAGAGAUCGGGAGGAAUACCAGUGGCGAAGGCGGCCUUCUGGACUGACACUGACACUGAGGUGCGAAAGCGUGGGUAGCAAACAGGAUUAUAUACCCUGGUAGUC